RNAcentral lists this ribosomal RNA (492 nucleotides) under uncultured bacterium. RNAcentral describes it as "partial 16S ribosomal RNA". It matches the Rfam family "Bacterial small subunit ribosomal RNA", at positions 29 to 507 of the family's 1533-position model. The record is from RNAcentral.
AGUGAACGCUGGCGGUAGGCCUAACACAUGCAAGUCGAACGGCAGCACAGUAAGCGCUUGCUCUUACGGGCGGCGAGUGGCGGUCGGGUGCGGAAUACAUCGGAAUCUACUUUUUCGUGGGGGCUAACGUAGGGAAACUUACGCUAAUACCGCAUACGACCUACGGGUGAAAGCAGGGGAUCUUCGGACCUCGUGCGAUUGAAUGAGCCGAUGUCGGAUUAGCUAGUUGGAGGGGUAAAGGCCCACCAAGGCGACGAUCCGUAGCUGGUCUGAGAGGAUGAUCAGCCACACUGGAACUGAGACACGGUCCAGACUCCUGCGGGAGGCAGCAGUGGGGAAUGUUGGACAAUGGGCGCAAGCCUGAUCCAGCCAUACCACGUGAGUGAAGAAGGCCUUCGGGUUGUAAAGCCCUUUUGUUGAGAAAGAAAAGCAGCAGGUUAAUACCCCGCUGUUCUGACGGUACCCAAAGAAUAAACACCAGCUAACUUCGUG